This 548-nucleotide small RNA is filed under the name Pongo abelii (Sumatran orangutan). Its description in RNAcentral is "retained intron". The record is from RNAcentral. Lineage: Eukaryota; Metazoa; Chordata; Mammalia; Primates; Hominidae.
GAGGGCCUUUAUGUGUGAGAGAAUGUGUUGAUUUGUUGAUAAAAUUUUGUCUAAUACAUAAACACCAUUUUAAAAUCCAGGAAAGACCCAUAGAAUUAUUAAUCCAAAGUAAGAUAUUUAAAAAUACACAUUAAUAUUUUUAUUUUUUGUCUGUUUGAACCUUUUUUUCUCUAGAUUACUUGAUUGGAGACAUAUAUGUUGAAAGAAUCAUUGUUAAACUUCAUGAAACUUUAUUCAAAACAAAGAAAUUAUCAGAAGCUGAAAGUAGUGACUCAUCAGUGUCUUUUAUCUGUGAUGUGGCCUAUAACUAUUUCAGCUCAGCGAAAGGAUGCUUGCUAAUGCCAUCAUCUGAAGAUUUAUUAUUAACUCUCUUUCAGUUAUGUGCUCAGAGCAAAGAAAAAACACAUUUGCCAGAUUUUCUUAUCUGUAAACUGAAAAAUACUUGGCUCUCUGGUGUAAAUUUAUUGGUUCAUCAAACUGACAGUUCAUAUAAAGAGAGUACCUUCCUACAUUUGUCUGCUCUGUGGCUGAAGAACCAAGUUCAGGCU